UCGACGCAUUCUUCGGAAUGAGUGGCGCACGGCUGAGGAACACGUGACUAACCUACCCCGGUGUGGGGGAUAACGGGUCGAAAGACUCGCUAAUCCCGCAUACGAUCCGCCUCGGCGGAGGAAAGCCGUAAGGCGCACUGAGCGGGGGUCGCGUCCCAUUAGAUAGUUGGUGUGGUAAUGGCGCACCAAGUCGAUGAUGGGUCUCUGGUCUGAGAGGACGACCAGACAGAUUGGGACUGAGACACGGCCCAAACUCCUACGGGGGGCAGCAGCAAGGAAUUUUCGGCAAUGGGCGCAAGCCUGACCGAGCAACGCCGCGUGGAGGAUGACGGCUCUUGGGUUGUAAACUCCUUUUGGGGGGGACGAUAAUGACGGUACCCUCCGAAUCAGGCCCGGCUAACUACGUGCCAGCAGCCGCGGUAAUACGUAGGGGCCAAGCGUUGUCCGGAAUUACUGGGCGUAAAGCGUGGGUAGGUGGUCGGUGAUGUGCCGCGUGAAAGCGCCGGAGUAAUGCCGGCGAGGUCGCGGUAGACACACGGACUCGAGGCUCGCAGAGGAACGUGGAAUUCCCGGUGUAGUGGUGAAAUGCGUAGAUAUCGGGAGGAACACCAGUGGCGCAAGCGGCGUUCUGGGCGAGACCUGACACUGAGCCACGACGGCGUGGGGAGCAAACAGGAUUAGAUACCCUGGUAGUCCACGCAGUAAACGAUGCAUACCAGGUGUGGGAUGGCGUUCGCGUCGUUCCGUGCCGCAGCUUACGCGAUGAGUAUGCCGCCUGGGGACUACGAGCGCAAGCUUAAAACUCAGAGGAAUUGACGGGGGCCCGCACAAGCAGCG
This 837-nucleotide ribosomal RNA is filed under the name uncultured bacterium. Its description in RNAcentral is "bacterial SSU rRNA". It matches the Rfam family "Bacterial small subunit ribosomal RNA", at positions 62 to 934 of the family's 1533-position model. The record is from RNAcentral.